UGAAGUCAGCACUGUCCCAGAGUGGGAAGCUCAGGAUUCCUUCCAAGGAGUUGCAGGAAAAGCUUUAACAGUUUUGGGCAGAGGAUCAGUACAUAUUACCUUUCUCCAAGUCAGCUGAAAAAUUGUCACUGAACCCUCACAUUUCCUUUAGGGAUAAUCAGUAAGUUUUCUUUCAGAGUUGAAUGCAUGUAUACACUGUGGAUGUCUGACUUACCCUAUCCUAAUUAUCCAUGAGUGUCCCUUUAAGUAGUGUGUUAUAAUGGUAAUGACAUUGUCCUGGAAACAAAGGCCCUGAGUCCUUCGAGUUCUUAUCAACUUGACUUCAAGUCCCUCAUCUGUGGAAUGGAGUUAAUGCCUACCCUAUCUAUCUCAUAGGAUUGUUAUGAGGUUUGAUGAGNCCUAUCCUAAUUAUCCAUGAGUGUCCCUUUAAGUAGUGUGUUAUAAUGGUAAUGGCAUUGUCCUGGAAACAAAGGCCCUGAGUCCUUGAGUUCUUAUCAACUUGACUUCAAGUCCCUCAUCUGUGGAAUGGAGUUAAGGCCUGCCCUAUCUAUCUCAUAGGAUUGUUAUGAGAGGGAAGGUGUUGGAGGAGUUUGUCAAGGAGAUGAGACCUCUGGUUGACUUGUGAGCUUGAUUCAGCAAUGAGUCUCCUAUACCCUCGCCUCCCCUAGGAAUGUAUGGACUGCUCACUGUUCCCACCAUGGGAGCCCGUUUUCAAGGAUGCAGUCUUGUGAAAGCAAUGUGUUGUUGAGACCAUCUGGACUGAAUAAAUGACUGAACCUAACUUCUCUGCAGUUUUAGGAUUCUGGUGGGCAGGUGUGGAAAUCCAUCCAUCAUGCAGCUGCCUGAGACAAGCCUUGAAUCAAGUGCCCUUGCUUAUUAAACCUGCCACCUACCUGUGUGGANGCUGCCUGAGACAAGCCUUGAAUCAAGUGCCCUUGCUUAUUAAACCUGCCACCUCCCUGUGUGGUCUGUCUCUUUGUUCCUUCCUCAUCAGCUUGGAGCCAGUUUCAGAUUUCAUCCAGGAAGCUUCUGAAUUUCCAAACCAACUGAAGGAUGCCUUCAUGUUUUGUGCCGUAAUUCCUUUCACCAGUGAACAGCUUUAUACGAUUCAACUCACUCUAUUUGAAGUGAGAAAUGGAAACAAGUAGAGAAGCUGAGUUGAAGAGCCAAAGAAAUAUGAAAUAAAUACUUGUAAGUAAUUCA
Molecule: long non-coding RNA, 1203 nt
Filed under: Vulpes vulpes (red fox)
Lineage: Eukaryota; Metazoa; Chordata; Mammalia; Carnivora; Canidae
Description: lncRNA (ENSVVUG00000021900.1)
Source: RNAcentral